RNAcentral lists this ribosomal RNA (301 nucleotides) under uncultured bacterium. Its description in RNAcentral is "partial 16S ribosomal RNA". It matches the Rfam family "Bacterial small subunit ribosomal RNA", at positions 509 to 807 of the family's 1533-position model. The record is from RNAcentral.
CAGUCGCCGCGGGAACACAGAGGGUGCAAGCGUUAAUCGGAAUUACUGGGCGUAAAGCGCGCGUAGGUGGUUUGUUAAGUUGGAUGUGAAAUCCCCGGGCUCAACCUGGGAACUGCAUCCAAAACUGGCAAGCUAGAGUAUGGUAGAGGGUGGUGGAAUUUCCUGUGUAGCGGUGAAAUGCGUAGAUAUAGGAAGGAACACCAGUGGCGAAGGCGACCACCUGGACUGAUACUGACACUGAGGUGCGAAAGCGUGGGGAGCAAACAGGAUUAGAUACCCCCGUAGUCCCUGUCUCUUAUAC